RNAcentral lists this ribosomal RNA (665 nucleotides) under Hadrostethus hansoni. RNAcentral describes it as "eukaryotic LSU rRNA". It matches the Rfam family "Eukaryotic large subunit ribosomal RNA", at positions 420 to 823 of the family's 3401-position model. The record is from RNAcentral. Lineage: Eukaryota; Metazoa; Arthropoda; Insecta; Hymenoptera; Ichneumonidae.
CCUGAGAAACCCAAAAGAUCGAUCGGGGAGAUUCAUCGUCAGCGAUUCUGGUACGUGGGCGGUUCGCGAUGCCGCGGGACCUCGGUUCCCUGACACGCGUCCGCUCAUGUUUAUAAUGCCGGUUGUCGCCGGCGUGCACUUCUCCCCUAGUAGAACGUCGCGACCCGUUGGGUGUCGGUCUACGGCCCGGAUGAUAGACUGCCGCGCGUCGCUAUUAGCGUUGACGCGCGGCAGAUCACCGGUCGCCCGACCGGCUGCCCGGCGGUACACGCACGGUAUCGAGCCGCAAUUAUUCGAACUGCGUCCGGCCCGCCGCAAGCGAGGUCAGUGUCUCCCGGAUGUGCGGACCUAGCGCCGUCACCGGGCCUGGCCGGCUGUUGGUCGGCGGUGACCUGGGACAGGCUCAAUUCAAUUACGAUACCGGUCGGCGACGCUACUGCUUUGGGUACUUUCAGGACCCGUCUUGAAACACGGACCAAGGAGUCUAACAUGUGCGCGAGUCAUUGGGAGCCAUGAAGCCUAAAGGCGCAAUGAAAGUGAAGGUCGGCCCCGCGCCGACCGAGGGAGGAUGGGCCGCGUCACGAUGCGGUCCCGCACUCCCGGGGCGUCUCGUUCUCAUCGCGAGAAGAGGCGCACCCAGAGCGUACACGUUGGGACCCGAAGGG